RNAcentral lists this ribosomal RNA (463 nucleotides) under uncultured bacterium. Its description in RNAcentral is "partial 16S ribosomal RNA". It matches the Rfam family "Bacterial small subunit ribosomal RNA", at positions 28 to 507 of the family's 1533-position model. The record is from RNAcentral.
GAUGAACGCUGACAGAAUGCUUAACACAUGCAAGUCGAUGGGGAAGUGGUGCUUGCACCCUGGCAACCAUGGCGGACGGGUGAGUAACGCGUAAGGGACUUACCUGCAGGACUGGGAUAACAGGGGGAAACUCCUGACAAGACCGGAUAAUGUCAUGGAGCUGCAUGGCUUUAUGAUGAAAGGAGACGCCUGCGGAGAGCCUUGCGUCCUAUUAGCUAGUUGGUGAGGUAAUGGCUCACCAAGGCGAAGAUAGGUAGCCGGCCUGAGAGGGUGGACGGCCACAAGGGGACUGAGAUACGGCCCUUACUCCUACGGGAGGCAGCAGUGGGGAAUAUUGGACAAUGGGGGCAACCCUGAUCAAGCAAUUCUGUGUGCACGAAGAAGGUUUUCGGAUUGUAAAGUGCUUUCAGCAGGGAAGAAGUAAGUGACGGUACCUGCAGAAGAAGCGACGGCUAAAUACGUG